RNAcentral lists this ribosomal RNA (497 nucleotides) under uncultured bacterium. RNAcentral describes it as "partial 16S ribosomal RNA". It matches the Rfam family "Bacterial small subunit ribosomal RNA", at positions 28 to 507 of the family's 1533-position model. The record is from RNAcentral.
GAUGAACGCUGGCGGCGUGCCUAAUACAUGCGAGUCGAGCGAACGGACGAGAAGCUUGCUUCUCUGAUGUUAGCGGCGGACGGGUGAGUAACACGUGGAUAACCUACCUAUAAGACUGGGAUAACUUCGGGAAACCGGAGCUAAUACCGGAUAAUAUUUUGAACCGCAUGGUUCAAAAGUGAAAGACGGUCUUGCUGUCACUUAUAGAUGGAUCCGCGCUGCAUUAGCUAGUUGGUAAGGUAACGGCUUACCAAGGCAACGAUGCAUAGCCGACCUGAGAGGGUGAUCGGCCACACUGGAACUGAGACACGGUCCAGACUCCUACGGGAGGCAGAAGUAGGGAAUCUUCCGCAAUGGGCGAAAGCCUGACGGAGCAACGCCGCGUGAGUGAUGAAGGUCUUCGGAUCGUAAAACUCUGUUAUUAGGGAAGAACAUAUGUGUAAGUAACUGUGCACAUCUUGACGGUACCUAAUCAAAAAGCCACGGCUAACUACGUG